RNAcentral lists this ribosomal RNA (460 nucleotides) under uncultured bacterium. Its description in RNAcentral is "partial 16S ribosomal RNA". It matches the Rfam family "Bacterial small subunit ribosomal RNA", at positions 338 to 795 of the family's 1533-position model. The record is from RNAcentral.
CCUACGGGGUGCAGCAGUGAGGAAUAUUGGUCAAUGGACGAGAGUCUGAACCAGCCAAGUAGCGUGAAGGAUGACUGCCCUAUGGGUUGUAAACUUCUUUUAUAAAGGAAUAAAACGAGGCACGUGUGCCUUUUUGCAUGUACUUUAUGAAUAAGGAUCGGCUAACUCCGUGCCAGCAGCCGCGGUAAUACGGAGGAUCCGAGCGUUAUCCGGAUUUAUUGGGUUUAAAGGGAGCGUAGAUGGGGUGUUAAGUCAGUUGUGAAAGGUUGCGGCUCAACCGUAAAAUUGCAAUUGAUACUGGCAGUCUUGAGUACAGGUGAGGUAGGCGGAAUUCGUGGUGUAGCGGUGAAAUGCUUAGAUAUCACGAAGAACCCCGAUUGCGAAGGCAGCUUACUAAACUGUGACUGACAUUGAUGCUCGAAAGUGUGGGUAUCAAACAGGAUUAGAUACCCCUGUAGUC